GCUCGGUUGUGUAGUGUUAUCACGCGUCCCUGGUAUGGAUGAAACACGAGUUCGACUCCCAUCCGAGGUCG
Parelaphostrongylus tenuis is the source of this 71-nucleotide non-coding RNA. Lineage: Eukaryota; Metazoa; Nematoda; Chromadorea; Rhabditida; Metastrongylidae. The record is from the annotation of a GenBank genome assembly.